RNAcentral lists this long non-coding RNA (771 nucleotides) under Rattus norvegicus (Norway rat). Its description in RNAcentral is "long non-coding RNA NONRATT001754". The record is from RNAcentral. Lineage: Eukaryota; Metazoa; Chordata; Mammalia; Rodentia; Muridae.
UCUCCAGCGCGCUGGGAUUUCAGGCAUGUGUUACCAUUCCCUAUACCUCCGUCCUGUUGUUAGCAUCUCUCUGUAAGCUGCCCUGCCGACCUCCAUCCACACAGGAUGUACGGCUGUAAUUCCUCUCCCAUUCGGUGAGGCACAGUUUUGGCAACUCAUUUUUGAGGAGUUUGAACAAGAUGCUGUCAUUACUGAAGUAGAAGGGCAUAGCAGUGUGAAAAGAGAACAACAAAACAAAUGCGGCCUCAACUGAGCAGAGCUCACACCAUCAGUAAAAGCUCGUGUGGAUUAUUCCUUGACGAAGUGCACUGAGGAUAGCAUCACCAGUUUAAUUCUGAGAAACCAAAACUCGAGGGACGUUCAAGGAAAGAACUGGACGGUGCCCUUCGGAAGAGUCAAGGAUUUGAAGAUAAAGAAACCCUGAAGACUGCCCCACCUCGUAGACACAGAGGACGCAUGAUCAUUAAAUACAAUAUGGUAUCCUAAAGCAGUAUCUCAAGACGCUGUAAAUUGAUGGCUCUACUCUUGCUCAAAGCCAGCAGAGCCGCGCUCCUAACAUUUCAACAUUUGCCAGUAGAGGGCAGCACUGCCUUUUUUGAGAAAUGUUGAGCAUCUAGGGAAAAAGCUCCCAACGGUUGUCAUUUUUGUUUUUAAUCUUACUUUACCCAUGCAAGCUCUCUUGAGAUUUAUUUUUCUUAUUGCUUGUGUGAUUUUAUAGAGAGAAUCCCACACCUUCUGUUGCUUAAUAAAUGGAAGAUGGAGCAAUUAGUG